This 52-nucleotide transfer RNA is filed under the name Deltaproteobacteria bacterium. RNAcentral describes it as "tRNA-Leu". It matches the Rfam family "tRNA", at positions 24 to 71 of the family's 71-position model. From Rfam's summary of the family: Transfer RNA (tRNA) molecules are approximately 80 nucleotides in length. Their secondary structure includes four short double-helical elements and three loops (D, anti-codon, and T loops). The record is from RNAcentral. Lineage: Bacteria; Pseudomonadati; Myxococcota; Myxococcia.
CAGCUGAUUUGUAAUCAGCAGGUUACGGGUUCAAGUCCUGUCACCAGCACCA